This 254-nucleotide ribosomal RNA is filed under the name uncultured bacterium. RNAcentral's name for it is "partial 16S ribosomal RNA". It matches the Rfam family "Bacterial small subunit ribosomal RNA", at positions 524 to 776 of the family's 1533-position model. The record is from RNAcentral.
UACGAAGGAUGCAAGCGUUAUCCGGAUUUAUUGGGUUUAAAGGGAGCGUAGGCGGUCUUAUAAGUCAGUGGUGAAAUCUCGUUGCUUAACAACGACCGUGCCAUUGAUACUGUAGGACUUGAGUACAGUUGCCGUUGGCGGAAUGUGUCAUGUAGCGGUGAAAUGCAUAGAUAUGACACAGAACACCGAUUGCGAAGGCAGCUGACGAAACUGUAACUGACGCUGAGGCUCGAAAGCGUGGGGGAUCAAACAGG